Heteronotia binoei (common prickly gecko) is the source of this 570-nucleotide long non-coding RNA. RefSeq lists it as uncharacterized. The transcript has 4 exons. The record is from RefSeq and is a predicted model, not a curated record. Lineage: Eukaryota; Metazoa; Chordata; Lepidosauria; Squamata; Gekkonidae.
CUUUAACUCUUCCACAAGGAACUCUUCUUCCUCCUUUUCUUGAGUUCUUCUGUCUCCUCACCCCCUGGUAUCCUGCAUUCUGCUCACAUACAGGCAACUUGGAUUAUAUUAUCCUAAGAAUCACAUAUUAAAAUAUCAAGAAGUGGCAAGAGGUGUGUGGCAACUGAAGGAUGUCUUCAAUCUUAAAAGUAUUUGGGAGAGAAGACAAAGAGAAAGAGAAGGAAAAGGAAAAAGAGAAGAAGAAGAAUGGAGACAAACACAAAAAGAAGAAGAAAGAGAAAAAGCAGGAUGGACAUGAUGAUGACAGCAGCAGCAGCAGCAGCAGCUUGGACAGUGAUUCUGAGAAGGGUCACAAGAAAAAGACAGAAAAAGACUGAUGUUGUGAUUAUCUAUAACUAACUCAGCAACAUCAGCAGAGCUUGCUUCAGGGCAUUUGAUAACAUUCUACCUGGAAGAAGAACAAGAUGUAUCUGGCUGUUAAUCCAAAAUAAAGUAACUUUGUUGUAUUUUACAUUAAAGUAUCCAUGCUCUCUUUAGUGAUUUAACUUCCUUCAUAAAAAUUGGCUAUCA